UGGGGAAUUUUGCACAAUGGGGGAAACCCUGAUGCAGCGACGCCGCGUGAUUUAGAAGGCCUUCGGGUUGUAAAAAUCUUUUGUAUAGGAAGAAAAUGACAGUACUAUACGAAUAAGGACCGGCUAAUUACGUGCCAGCAGCCGCGGUAAUACGUAAGGUCCGAGCGUUGUCCGGAAUCAUUGGGCGUAAAGGGUACGUAGGCGGGUAAGCAAGUUAGAAGUGAAAUCCUAUAGCUCAACUAUAGUAAGCUUUUAAAACUGCUCAUCUUGAGGUAUGGAAGGGAAAGUGGAAUUCCUAGUGUAGCGGUGAAAUGCGCAGAUAUUAGGAGGAAUACCGGUGGCGAAAGCGGCUCUCUGGUCUGUAACUGACGCUGAGGCUCGAAAGCGUGGGGAGCGAACAGG
This 402-nucleotide ribosomal RNA is filed under the name Bacteroidota bacterium. Its description in RNAcentral is "Bacteroidetes bacterium partial 16S ribosomal RNA". It matches the Rfam family "Bacterial small subunit ribosomal RNA", at positions 355 to 776 of the family's 1533-position model. The record is from RNAcentral. Lineage: Bacteria; Pseudomonadati; Bacteroidota.